This 411-nucleotide ribosomal RNA is filed under the name uncultured Catonella sp. Its description in RNAcentral is "bacterial SSU rRNA". It matches the Rfam family "Bacterial small subunit ribosomal RNA", at positions 355 to 784 of the family's 1533-position model. Lineage: Bacteria; Bacillati; Bacillota; Clostridia; Lachnospirales; Lachnospiraceae. The record is from RNAcentral.
UGGGGGAUAUUGCACAAUGGAGGAAACUCUGAUGCAGCGACGCCGCGUGAGUGAAGAAGUAUUUCGGUAUGUAAAGCUCUAUCAGCAGGGAAGAUAAUGACAGUACCUGACUAAGAAGCCCCGGCUAACUCCGUGCCAGCAGCCGCGGUAAUACGGAGGAUGCGAGCGUUAUCCGGAUUUAUUGGGUUUAAAGGGUGCGCAGGCGGCGCGCCAAGUCAGCGGUCAAAGUUCCGGGCUCAACCCGGUGUCGCCGUUGAAACUGGCGUGCUCGAGUGCGUGCGAGGAAGGCGGAAUGCGUUGUGUAGCGGUGAAAUGCAUAGAUAUGACGCAGAACUCCGAUUGCGAAGGCAGCUUUCCAGCGCGCUACUGACGCUGAGGCACGAAAGCGUGGGGAUCGAACAGGAUUAGAUA